GGUCGCCAGUCAAGAGGAAAGCAGGGGGCAGUUACUUGAGUGGAGAGCAGGCGAGGGGUCAGCAGGACAAAUAAAACCCUAAAAUAAAGGGCAGGAAAGUGAUAAACACAAAAGCAGAGAAGGAUCUAAAAAUCCAAGCUGUGAGGUCAGUUGGUUUAGAGGGUGGGUCAGGAAUAGUGCGUGAAGGAAAACCUACAGUGUUUACAAAUGAUAAAAGGAACCUCCCUCUCCUGAGACACAGCAGCUCAAAAGGGAGAAAAAAAAUGCAUUUAUACAAAAAGCAAGGUCAUUUGGCCUUUUGGCACGAAGCUGUGGAAAAAGGGAGAAUGUUUGGAAAGAAGAAAGGAAGGCACCUUAAGGAAGAUGGUCUCCCUCCCCGGGGCCCAGUCCUCCACACCCCGCACCCCAGGGUGAGCGUGUCCUGCCUCCCCCUGGGCCGCAGGGCAGCAGGUGCCUCAGCAGCGAGAGGACAGGCCGCAGGCUCCCAGGCACAGAGUCUGCAUCACGGGAGCUAGAAAUCCAAGGCCACUUCGGGGCCACAGCGAGUCCCAACCCAGCACGGUCCCUGAGGACCCGCCGAUGGUGAGCUGCUCCGCAGACCACAGUCCCUUGGCCCAAGUGAUGGCUGACCGGUGUCUCAUAAGGGUCCGCUUCCCAAACUUGGCCACCUCAGGGGCAAGACACUAAGUGAAAGUAGUUGAAAGGCACAUGGGAGCGAAGAGCAAAUCGAAGAAGCCAGUUUUUACACAAGGAUUCUUAUCCCUGUAGGUGACCAGGGUCAAGAGUCCUGUGGCUUCAGAACCCUAUGCAGGUCAAUGUCGAGGUGGACUAAGGUGGCCCGCUUACCUGGUUGAGAAGCUUUGGCUUGGGGGAGACUUGAGACCUCCUGAGAGAACUGCCCUUAGAGGCAGAUAUUCCCACAGCAGAAGAAAUGGCUGGAAACAAAUAUCAAAGCUAACUAGAAAGGCCUGAAAACGGUUGUAGAGAGAAACUGAGCCCAGCACAGGUUAAAGUGAUGUUUCCAGUCGGAGGAACAGCAAAAGAAGCCACUGUUUCUUUGAACAAAGGAGACACUCUCCUCUUCUCCUCCUUUUCCUCCACCGGUUCCUGCUCCUCUUCAGGGCAUGGAACUUACUGGGUAGGAAGGCCCGAGGCAGGCGAAGAGGACAGACCCAACAGACCUACCACCCAGUCACAUGAUGGAAGAGGCAUUUGUAAGAUGUGGCGCAGGGAUGGCAAAUGUUCAGGCUGCUGGUGUGUUUUGUCAGGCCAGAGCCACGUUUUUAGAAUAAUUGAAUUUGAGUGCUUUUAUAGGUAAGGUAUGCAAUUUUUAUGUUUUUGAAGUUGCCACCACUUAACAUUUCACAAACCUUUUUCAUUCUUUUUUUUUUCUUUCAAAAAAGUGUUUUUAACCUUUGAAGAUAUCUGGAUUUGCACACUCCAGCUCUUAAGCAGUUCUGGGAAGACCUUGAAGCCAGCAUUUUUAGAGGCAUGACCUCUAAAGAUGGCCAGCCCCACAGAGAUAAGUCUGGAGCCUAAGGAGAGGAAUGUACAAAAACAAGAUGACAACUAGCAUGAAGGCAGAAAUGAUUUCUAGGAAGGAAGUACUGUUACUAAGAAUUAUCAUGGCAGUUUCACAUUUUUAUAAUAAACCACCCGGGUUUAUACCCAUGUAUUUUUUUUCUAAUAACACUACUCCUAAAUUAUCUUUUGAAACAUAUAUCAAAUUGACCGUCAUAUUUUAUUGAGUUUUCUUCAAUUUUUUCGUUUCAAGAGGUAUCUAAAGAGGAUGUUGAAGUACCUAAAUUUACAUGAACUCAAUCUGCCAUCUGAUAAACGUCUAAUUGUUUUGGCAGUAAGAGCCCUUGAGUGAGUCUCCCAAGUAUCCCAAAAUACGCAGUACAUGUUGACUUCCAUGGUUGUAUUUCUAUACCUUGUUAGAAACACAGGCUUUUGUAACAUUGUUCUGGUUUGGGACAAAGCAAAAUAUGGGUCAACCUGGAGCUCCUUAUCUGUUUUUGGAUAGAAAGGAGGUAACAUGUGGGAUAGAUCAAAGAAUAUGCCUGUUAGAGAGAGGUAUGAGAUCUAAACAUGGAAGCCCUGAUCCUACAAGGCACUCACUUCCUGGGAGUUCCUGCUGUCAGAACAGUGAGAUAGGGAUGGAUUUCUGUAAUGGGUCAGUGGAGAUAUCAUACCUGGUCCACCGUAGAAUGGUUGUAUGGGGAAUCUGGUCUAGAGCAAAAUAAUUUUCCAUGGAAAGAAUAUGAUUGGUUUACCCUAGUAGUAUCAUUCUUAAGUAAAUGUGAAUGAACCAGAUGUCAUAAAAUACCAGCAUGCACGUGGAAAUCUGUAAUGGAAACAUGUAUGAAUAUACUAUGUGGUUUACUGACCUAAUACGCAUAUAAGUUGUAGUAUUUAGAAGCACCCCCUCCUGUCUCUUUCUGAAUAAAACCAUUGCAAAGGUUUUAGC
Molecule: long non-coding RNA, 2470 nt
Filed under: Canis lupus familiaris (dog)
Lineage: Eukaryota; Metazoa; Chordata; Mammalia; Carnivora; Canidae
Description: lncRNA (ENSCAFG00845022979.1)
Source: RNAcentral